This 84-nucleotide microRNA precursor is filed under the name Bombyx mori (domestic silkworm). RNAcentral's name for it is "mir-2807 microRNA precursor family". It matches the Rfam family "mir-2807 microRNA precursor family". The record is from Rfam by way of RNAcentral. Lineage: Eukaryota; Metazoa; Arthropoda; Insecta; Lepidoptera; Bombycidae.
UUAACUCAAAUUUGUAUGCAGUUGGAACAGCGCCCCUAGCGGCAAACGUAGGCAAACGAUCCAACUCCAUACGAAGUUAAGUUA